RNAcentral lists this long non-coding RNA (260 nucleotides) under Hordeum vulgare. Its description in RNAcentral is "long non-coding RNA (HVUL_LNC019569)". Lineage: Eukaryota; Viridiplantae; Streptophyta; Magnoliopsida; Poales; Poaceae. The record is from RNAcentral.
AUUAGCUUAGUUAGGUGAAAAAACAUCACAAGAACCUUGGUUAGCUCAUAACUUAGCAUAUCUUCCUCCUAAAUGACAUAAUAAGCUCAAAAUAUGAAAAGUAUUAUAAUCAUCCUCUUCCUCUUGUUCUACGUCUUCUUCUUCUUCUUCUUCUUCUCCUCCUCCUCCUCCUCCUCCUCCUCCUUCUUCUUCUUCUUCCCCUCCCCCUUCUUCUUCUUCUUCUUCUUCUUCCUCUUUGUCUUCUUCUUCUCCUUCUCCUU